RNAcentral lists this long non-coding RNA (1076 nucleotides) under Fukomys damarensis (Damara mole-rat). RNAcentral's name for it is "lncRNA (ENSFDAG00000024395.1)". Lineage: Eukaryota; Metazoa; Chordata; Mammalia; Rodentia; Bathyergidae. The record is from RNAcentral.
GGCUAGAGUUUUCAAAACCAAUGAUAAGUUUGGGCCAAUCACGAUGAAGACAGAAAAUGAACUUAGAGAUCUGGCUUGAGGUUAUUGACCUGUUAGAGUAACCAGAGCUGUCCACUGCAAAUGCGAAGAAUUACCUGUGCUUGGUAGAAAAUAAAGACCAUCCAGAGGCAGCGACUCAGCUUCCCUCUCUGCUGGGUUGGGAGCGUGGAGGCCCAGCGCACCAUCAUUUCUGUCUCCACCCGUGGUGCGGCUCGCAGUGUCCUCCGUGUGCUCCGUCAGCCGCCCGUCGACGUCUCGAACGGGCUCUAGCUUCCCUCUGUCCCUGAAUACCACACGUGCUUCCUGCCGAGGCUCUGGUGAGCCGCACACCUCGACCCAGGCUGCGCCGAGCUGUGCGUCCUGCCGAGGUUCGCACCCGUUCUCGGCUGUAACAGCUCUCCCCCGGGGGCUCCUCUAACUGUGCCUGUGGGCUGCACUCUCUGCUCUCACUUUCACAGCAUCUCGGGCUUCUCUGUAGACUGUAUCACAAUUCAGAAUUUCGAUGUGACUGUUUAUCUGAAUACUUCAACAUGCGUGGGCUCUUGAGGAAAAAUGCUUUGUCUCUUAUCAAUUCUUCACAUUCUACGCAUUUGCUAGAGUUGAUGCUUAAGAAGUGGCAAUAGUUCUGGUCAUUUCGAACACACGCUUAUUAGGCCAAGACUUUAAAUAUUCCUGUUAUCCUUCGGCUAUAAGGGGCUCAUACAGGCAUGAAGAUAGCGUGUUAAUCCUUUCAAGUAUGUAAUUCCCAGAGCCUGCGUGGAAAAUGGUUCCCUUCUUGUAUGUCAAUAACCAUCUAGGAGCAUUAGCCAUCUAGAAUGCCUUCUCGAGACAGAAUCUGAGGCUGAAGACAGGUUUAGCAAAAAGAAUAAUGAGUCAGAUGAAUUUUCCCUGCUAGAAAAAAGGGAUUUGGGAGAGUCCAACCACUGAUUUUUCACAUUUGGCAUCUUUGGCUGAGAAAAAUUAUAUGAUUAAGGGCUGAGGGUAUAACUCAGUGGUAGAAAGCAUGCCUGGUUAUGCAAGCCACUGUAAAAACAAAC